Molecule: long non-coding RNA, 565 nt
Organism: Mus spicilegus (steppe mouse)
Lineage: Eukaryota; Metazoa; Chordata; Mammalia; Rodentia; Muridae
Source: Ensembl
CUUAGCCUCAAAGAGGACUUCUGGGGUCUUGAGCAGAACAAGAGGUCUGUGUAACCAGAAGAAAUUGUCACCCUUGGCUCCUUUGGAGGGACUAUGAUGACUGGAGAGAAGCGUCUCUGGAUGGUCAUGCGUCUGUGACUACAGCCUCUCUGGGCCUGUGAGAGAGGACAGUCCAGUUUAUUUGCCGAGGAUUCCUUUUGGAAAGGAAUGUGGACUCACAUUUUGCAUUAAGAAACUGGAAAAUCUUCUCGUAGGUCCUGGCAUAGUGCUGCCCAUGUCCUGGGUAGAUCUUGUACCAGCUGAAACUGCACAGCUCGACCUUCAUGGCGAUAGAUGUCGGCCUGCCGGGGGAAAGAUGGCGAAGAGCGGGCAUGGAUGCUAAUACCCUCAUCCUAACUGCCUAGAAGCCAGUCUUCUGUUAUUUGCCUUUGAAACAAGGGGUGGAACUCUCAUUUCCUCCAUUCCCACGUCUGCCUGGAUGCUGCAAUGUUCCUGCCUUGAUGAUAAUGGACUGAACCUCUGACCUGUAAGCCAGCCCCAAUAAAAUGUCAUCCUUAUAAGUGUU